Molecule: ribosomal RNA, 464 nt
Filed under: uncultured bacterium
Lineage: Bacteria
Description: partial 16S ribosomal RNA
Rfam family: Bacterial small subunit ribosomal RNA
Source: RNAcentral
CUACGGGUUGCUCCAGUGAGGAAUUUUGCGCAAUGGGGGAAACCCUGACGCAGCAACGCCGCGUGAGCGAAGAAGGCCUUCGGGUCGUAAAGCUCUGUCAAGUGGGAAAAAAAUUCUUUGAUCAAUAGUCAAAGGAUUUGAUGGUACCACUGGAGGAAGCACCGGCGAACUCCGUGCCAGCAGCCGCGGUAAUACGGAGGGUGCAAGCGUUGUUCGGAAUUACUGGGCGUAAAGAGCGUGUAGGCGGUUUGGCAAGUCAGAUGUGAAAGCCCUGGGCUCAACCUGGGAAGUGCAUUUGAAACUGCUUGACUAGAGUAUGGGAGAGGAGAUUGGAAUUCCUGGUGUAGAGGUGAAAUUCGUAGAUAUCAGGAGGAACACCCGUGGCGAAGGCGAUUCUCUGGACCAAUACUGACGCUGAGACGCGAAAGCGUGGGGAGCAAACAGGAUUAGAUACCCCUGUAGUC